GACGAACGCUGGCGGCGUGCUUAACACAUGCAAGUCGAACGGAAAGGCCCUGCUUUUGUGGGGUGCUCGAGUGGCGAACGGGUGAGUAACACGUGAGUAACCUGCCCUUGACUUUGGGAUAACUUCAGGAAACUGGGGCUAAUACCGGAUAGGAGCUCCUGCUGCAUGGUGGGGGUUGGUAAGUUUCGGCGGUUGGGGAUGGACUCGCGGCUUAUCAGCUUGUUGGUGGGGUAGUGGCUUACCAAGGCUUUGACGGGUAGCCCGCCUGGGAGGGUGACCGGCCACAUUGGGACUGAGGUACGGCCCAGACUCCUACGGGAGGCAGCAGUGGAGAGUAUUGCACAAUGGGCGGAAGCCUGAUGCAGCAGCGCCGCGUGCGGGAUGACGGCCUUCGGGUUGUAAACCGCUUUCGCCUGUGACGAAGCGUGAGUGACGGUAAUGGGUAAAGAAGCACCGGCUAACUACGUG
RNAcentral lists this ribosomal RNA (468 nucleotides) under uncultured bacterium. Its description in RNAcentral is "partial 16S ribosomal RNA". It matches the Rfam family "Bacterial small subunit ribosomal RNA", at positions 28 to 507 of the family's 1533-position model. The record is from RNAcentral.